GCAAGAUUAGACGAUGGGUUGGGUUGGGUCUUAAUGUGAGACAUCUUACUAAAUUUAAACGUUCUUUGUAGCCACUUUUUUUUAAAGUAAAAAAGAACCAGAUUUAAUUCAUGAUACUUUAUUUCAUCCUAUAUACCGAAAAUAUUAUCAUUUCAAUAUGUGAUCAUUGUAUUUAAAUGAUGAAUGAGCCAGUUCACAUUCUUUUUUUCAUAGUCUUCUUUACAAUGGAGUGUGUAUUUCCCACUUGGAAAACAUCUUGGUCUGGCCUGGCCACACUGCAGGCGCUCAGCAGCCUCUUGAGGCCAUGGCUGCCCCAGUGAGUAGCACAGCUGCAGAGGCCCAGGAAAACCAACCCAGGUGCGUGGGUGUUCACUGCCUUCCUUUACCCACUCCAGGCAGUUGCAUCCACCUUUCCGCCUCAUUUCCUCACCCAGUAUGCAACUGCGGAACAGCCUUUUCUCAGCAACCUGACAGAAUAGCUGUGUGCUGGGUUUCGGAAAUCAUAAAAAUGACCACAGAUAUGCAUUCGGAAAGAGGGCUGAAAACUCCUCAAGGCCCAAACGGUCUUGCUAUAUUGUCCAGGCUGGAUUUGAAUUCCUGGGCUCAAGCGAUCCUCCUACAGGUAGCUGAGACUACAGACAUGCACCAGUGCACCCAGGAGAUAUGCAUUUCUUAACAAAGGUGAUAAUGCUGUGCCAUAAAGUACAUAGUACAUUGACAAUUACAACUUGUUUACUUGUUUGUUUAAGAAAGCAUGGACUUAAUUCGAAUUGCUCACUUACCAAAGUAUUAACUUUAGGUCCACCACAGGGAUACAAGAAAAUGUUCUUUGUUACCCUAAAAAGUUGCCAAUUAAAGUUGCAUUUCAGCUCUUUUCUCCAAGGAGUUUUCUGAUAGCUGAUAGGAACAUAUUCUGAAGUCAGGCAAGCUGAGCAUUCCUAAUAACUCUGCCACCUAAUCAGAGCCACUGAGCCACCACCUCCAGUUGCACAACAGAGUCACACUUCUGCCUAAGAAACUGAUGAUCUCUGAAUAUGCAGGAGCAGUGAUUUACCACAGGACGCUUUCAAGGGGCAAAUGCACUUUCCCCCCAACCGCUAGGAUUUGCACUGUCAUGGCUGCCCUGGGGAAUGCCUCAAGCCUGGGGGCAAAUUUCACCCACUCCUAGAUUCUCUCUGUCCUGUAGCCACAAAGACAGAACUUGUUCUGCUUCCUGUGGUCGGUGUCCCAUCUGCUGAACACACAUUUUAAUACAUAAACUCUAUUUCCAGGAAUAAUACCUAUUGGUAUUAACAAGAAAAUAGCAUCUCUACAAGACUCCGUGAAAAGAAACGCUGUCAGUGCCACUCAUUCUACCUUCAAAGACAAGUCCCUGUAAUUACUUUCUCCUUAUUUCCUUGUCUGACUAAAGCAACAAGAUCAAAAGAACCUAUCCUUUUUCACCAGAUACCCUUCCAAAAUGUGCGUUUGCUUUGCUGUCUGGGAUCAGAAAUUUCAUUAUCUGUAUUUGUAUUAGUAAUUCACUGCACAAAGAGAACAGAGGGCAGAGAAGGAGGGCACGAAGGGAAGCAAACAUCAGGCAGACAAUUGUAUAUAUGCAAAUGCUUGCAAAUUUCUGCCAGCACCUCCCUAUCUACAACCAAGCAACAUGGAAGUCUAUUCAUCCCUCCAGCUUCUUUGCUGCCAAAUAUGGUUGUGGUUUUGAGGAAAAUAUCCAGAAAAUGUUGAACUUUCAGCCAUGACGACUAAAUCUAACUCAAAACCUACAACAUAAAAGGCUAAUGCAUCAAUAAAGUCAGUGAUUUUCUAGAAAGACACGGGAUAUGCAACAUCCUGACUACAAAGGAUGAAAAAUAAGAUUGGCUUGCGAGGUCGGUGGGGGAAGGAAGGGAAUGGUUGCAUGCCACUCUCCAACCCAAUUGACAGAGAACUGAAAUGUUGCCUUUUGUCUGUCUGGGGUUGUACAUUUGCAUAAAUAUCCUAAGUAAGAAGGGGUAUAAACAAAAUGCCCGAAAUUCAAAUUUAUAAAUGCAAGCUCAUUUUCAAAUAUAUAUGCUUAGUGUUUGAAAAUGACAACAAGCAUCAUCAUGUAUUUUGUUUUGUCUUGAAAUCAAUUAUUCCCAAACAAUAAUGGUUUAUCAGGAUUUUUCAUGACUUCCUUUAUUUGUUGAUAUUUAUUCUACCCACGCAAAUCAGUGAUAAUGGUAAUAAUUCACACCUUACAUGUCUUUCACAUAUAAUAAUUCAGUGCAUCCUUAAAAUUAUGCUUUGAGGGAGAGUCAGUAUUACACCCAUUUUACAGGCAAACAAACCAAGGCUCCAAAGUUUAGAGAGUUACUCAAAUUUACACAGCUAUCAAAUUAGUAACUGGCAGGACUGGAAUUCAAACACUCAUACUUGACUCUAAAUCCCAAGUACCUCUAACACCAUAAUUCUGUGCAAUAUUCCCAAAGAUGUAAUGGCUUCAGCCAUAUUUUACCCCUCAGCAGCAUCUGACCCUGCCAGCUGUGCUGCUCUGUCUGCUUUCCUUAUUCUUGAGGAUCGCUCUUUGAUCGGGUUUCUGCCACUUAGAUUGUGUCAGUCAUUUCCAGGGUCUCCUCUUCCCAGGUCUUUUGUCUACCCUCCUCUAUCUCUGCCAUCACUGAGCAAUCUCACCCACUUCCACUCCUUCAUUCAUUCAUUCAUUCAUUCAACAAAUAUACUUUGAGCACCUCCUAUGUGGCAGGCACUAGUCUAGACAUGUGAGAUACUACCAUGAACAACGGCCUGUCUCCCUCCUCAGAUAAAGCUUAUAUUGUCGUGGGGAUGCGGAGGACAUCGAUAAAAACAAAUAAAGAUCUAUUUAGAUUCAGGUGAUUGAUGCUAUGAGAAUACAAAGCAGGGAGGAGAGAUGGGGAAGGUAAGGAAAAGGGAAUUAAGAAGGAGAUUGCAAUUUGGGGUGCAUGAAGGCCUCACUGAGAUAACAUUUGGGAAAGAUGUCCUUCAUCACUUCUCUCAGAAGAUUUCUAAAUGUUCCCCUCUACCUCUCACUCUAUUCCAACCUCACAUUUUUACCUCUGGGCACAUCAUCUCUUCCUGUACCCACAUCCUGGCUCCACCUGAAUUCAUCCUCCCCUUCUCUUCCUCCUGUACUUCCCACUCUCAUUAAUAGCACCACCAUUCUUUAUACCACGAAAUGCACCCAGUCAAGAAAUAUAUAAGGGGAACUUCUAAGUGAAUGCACUAUUGUAUUCUAGGUGCUAAGAGAAUGCAUUGGUUUUAUAAGAGCUAUUUUCUCCUUGAAAACCAUAUUGGGUAUUAGAAACAGAGCAGAUUCUGUGUUCAAUCCUACCUUUUCCAUUAAUUAGCAGUAGAUUUAUCUACACAAUGAGAAUAAUGGUACCCAUUUUCUAUUAAUGUUAAAGUAGUCCCCCCUCAUCCAGUGGUGUACAUUCCAAGACCCCCAGUGGAUGACUGAAACCUCAGAUAGUCUGAACUGCAUACAUACUAUGAUUUUUCCUAUAUGUGCAUACCUAUAAUAAUGUUUAAUUUAUAAAUUAGGCACACUAAGAAGUUAACAGCAAUAACUAAUUAUUGUUAUUGUUGUUAUAACAAUAUACUGUUAUAACGAUAUACUGUAAUACAAGUUGUGUGAAUGUGGCCUCCUUCUCAAAAUAUCUUCUUGUACUGUACUCACCAACUUUUGGACCACAGUGGAUAGCCCAUGACUGAGACCUCAGAAAGCAACUGGGGGAGCUAAUAAGGAUUCAAUGCAACUGCACAGCUAAAGUCAGCAAGUGAGCACAUGAAUGAAUAAAUUAGUGAAUGAUAUGUUUACUGCAGUGCUUGACAUGGGGAGUAUCUGACAGGUUUAAAGGACGUCAUGAGGACCCACUCCCUUCAUUUCUCAGCUCUAUUACCUUUGAUGUGGGCUCCAUCUUCAAGCAGUGGCAAUAUGAGCUUCCCAGAGUUCCAGGCUUUCAUCCUAUCCAGCCACCCCAGAGGACGAAAGAGUUCUUUUCUCAACAGUAGCACAAAACUCAUUUGUUUUGACUGGGCAUGUGACCACUUCUGAACCAUUCAUUACUUGGGCCAAUCAGAAAAUACAAUUGCUCUGAUUGACUAGACUUAGGUUACAACCCCCUGUGGAGAUGUAGGUUGACUCAGGUUCACUCAAACCACUGGGAGUGAGAGUGGAGAGGGGUGGUCCCUGAGAAAUACCAAGUCUUGCAGGAAGAGAACGGAUAUUGGGCAGGUAAGACAAUGGAUGUCCACUACUCCCAACUGCGGCACCUGAUUCAUUCUGUCUUGCAUUAUAGUUAGAUGUUUUCAUGUAUGUCUGCCCUCAGAUUGAGAGCUUCCAUGAACAAGGGCUGAAGGUUUGCUAUCACCUAUCUGUUGGAGGACACAGCUCAAUCUUCUGAAUACUGCACAUGCUCAAUAAAUGUUUUUAACAUGAAUUGAUUCAUUACACUAGUGUAAACUAUUUCUUUUGCAUAUUUUAAGUUCUGUGAGUCUUGUUCUCUUCUUAUUACAUGGAAAUACAUAAAAUAUAAAAUACCACAUACACUUUAUAACACCUUAAAAGACAGGUUUCCAACAGCAGAAGCAAAUACACCAUCUUCAUAAUUUAGACAUAUAUGGACUUUCUCUCCUCUAAAAUCUUUAACUCAGCUAAGUUUACACAGGUGAGAAAAAGAGCAAGAGUGGUGGUGGUUUUCUAAGCCACUUCACUUUGCUAUUCUGUUUUCAUUCAGCAAAUGCUGCAUUUGCUGAAAAUUCGAGUGCAUAAGAUUUGCAAGACUUGCACUGCAGCCCACGCAAGGUAUCAUUAUUAACUGGGCAUCAGUCAGAUUUCACCACAGUGUAGAAAUGACCUUGGUCUUCCUCUGAACCACGUAAUUUCAACCUCUAUGGCCUUUUUCAAGGAUACCGCCUCAAAUUCUGUAAUCCCAAGUGUGGCAUUCUCUCAUUCUUCCUGGGUACACGGCUGCCCAACUAGAAACAUGUCCCAGCCUUGUUUGUGUCUGUGUGAACAUGCAACUGAGUUCUCACCAAGUGAUGUGAUGAUGUGUACGACCUCCAGAUCAUCUUCUUAAACAUGUCUAAGAUUUGAUUUUAAAUAAUGCAGUGAAGCAGUGGGGGGUGUAUUUGGGGGAUAUAAAUGAUACAAGUUUGACAUAUGAAGGUAGCUGUUUAAGCUCAGUGAUAGGACAUGGGAAUCUCUUAUACUGCAUCAUCCCUAUAUUUGUGUAUGUUUAAAAAUUUGUACUGAAAAAUAUGUUAUGCCAGGCAUGAUUGUUCAUGCCUGUAAUCCCAACACUUUGAGAGGCUGGGAUGGGAGGAUGCUUGAGCCCAGGAGUUUGAGAGCACCCUGGGCUCUCAAGACCCCCAUCUCUACAACACAUAAAAUUAGCUGAGCAUGGUGGCAUGCACCUGCGGUCCCAGGUACUCAGUAGGCUAAAAUGGGACGCUUGCUUGAG
This 5462-nucleotide long non-coding RNA is filed under the name Callithrix jacchus (white-tufted-ear marmoset). Its description in RNAcentral is "lncRNA (ENSCJAG00000081687.1)". The record is from RNAcentral. Lineage: Eukaryota; Metazoa; Chordata; Mammalia; Primates; Cebidae.